Molecule: long non-coding RNA, 1843 nt
Organism: Oncorhynchus gorbuscha (pink salmon)
Lineage: Eukaryota; Metazoa; Chordata; Actinopteri; Salmoniformes; Salmonidae
Exons: 3
Source: RefSeq, a predicted model, not a curated record
CUGAGACCAGGUUGGAUGCUUAGGUGCCAGUUAUUUUCUUCCUAAUGAUCUCUCUCUGCCAUACAAUUUAUGAUGUGAGACAGUUUCCAAAUUGUAGGCUUUGCACUGCUUUUUAAAAACUGUGCUGUUUCUGCCCCCACUUCCUUGAGGUAAAGAAUACGUUGCUGUCAGUUUCACUGACAUAUUACUGCCUGCAUGCACAUGCACACAGUUAUGUGGAAGACAAAUCUGUUUUGGUGAUUCAACAGGUGAUUCCGAUUAAUCUGUGAUUGAUCAAGGACAGGAGUCAGAGAGGCCUGCCAAAACAACAUCACAGCCAGAAACAUAUGUGUCAGGUGUGACGUCAAAGAGAAGAAGAGGUAACUCGGCAAUGGCUAACUGGUCUUCUCAACACCAGACCUUUUUGGAGGGACUGGCAGCAGAAAAAGACAUGACUGGAGGCGCAGAUAGUGCAGAGCCAGGGGAGGGAGGAGUGGAUCAUCUCUUUGAUUGUGGAGUCCAAUGCACAUACCACAGAGCAUGUCGUGUCUCUGCUGCUUGAAGGCUUCCGAAGCAUCCAGCCACCACCACCGCACCAGCCAAUGUUUGUCCCAUCUCCCUAUCAAGGAUACCACACACCUCCCCAAAACUACCAAAUGCAUGCCAAUCCUGCCUCAAGCACAGCCUUCUUUGACCAACCAGCUGAUGAAGAAGAAACAAAAUACUUCCAAGACUUAGUUCCAACACGAAGUUCCUAACAUGUUGUUGCUCAGUUCAGUUUAGGGGCUAAUAGUUGGCUCUGAAGUCAACAAGCAAGUCCCUAAAAGUUCAUUUCUGUUGAACUGGUGUGAUGGAAAUGUUUAUCUUUGUGCUUUUCUAAUAACCAAUUUCAGUGUUCAUGCAAGUGGCUGAUUGAAUGUGCCUGUCCUGAGUCCUCACUAUUAGUAUCUGCAAUUUGGCAGUACGCCCAGAACCUUGUUUUGAGAAUGAAAUAUAUCUCAGUUUCAAGGUCUCAGCUUAUAGGGAGGAAGCCUUGUGAGGUAUUUGUCUUUAGGCAUUUAUAAGAGAAGUGUCUACGUGGUCUGCAGUCACUGGUAGAGAACAGUAUAAAGUGCACUAGGUGCUAUUCUAUGUGUAUAGUGAAGCUACAUAUGGUGCAUAGGAAGUAGCGACAAAGAAUCGUUGAAGAUGCAUAUUGAGUAAUAUGGGUGAUUAUUGAGUGUGUUUGGGAAUAGUACUAAGUGAAUCAGGAUGUGAAAGUUGUGUGAUUAUGAGAUGUGACAGAUUAAACUGAUUGAAAUUUGGAUAAAAAAAGAUUGACAUCAAAUCAAAUCAAGACAUUUGGAUAAUAAGCUGAUUGAGACUUGUAAUAAUAAGAAAUUGUAAUUUGAAAAUAAACUGAUUGAAAUGUAGCUAUUAAAUAGAGAGUGAAUAAGAGCUAUCAUGGGACUAGCUCCAGUGAGAAAGAUGAUUGAAUGGAUACCCCAACCAGUUCUGUAUGGGCUGAGUAUUUCUAUCUAUAACGUUAUCUAGCGGUUCUGUCCACCACUGGCCAUCGUAGACUGGGACUACUAAGUGUUAUUGAGCAGCCACACUUUUGGCAUUCUCUCAACCAGCUUGGAAUGCAUUUCAAUUAACAGGUAUGCCUUGUUAAAAGUGAAUUUCUGGACUUUCUUUUCUUCUUAAUGGUUUGAGACAAUCAGUUGUGUUGUGACAAGGUAGGGGUCGUAUACAGAAGAUAGCCCUAGAAAAUAGUAAAAAUCUUUAAAAGAAACUAAGUAUAUUUUUUUGUUAAUUAAAAUAAAUGUUGCAGUCAAAAUUGCUGUGCUUGAUAACAUUUGUGCAUCUUUAAAAUAAAAUUCUA